GACGAACGCUGGCGGCGUGCUUAACACAUGCAAGUCGAACGAUGAAGCUGGAGCUUGCUCCGGUGGAUUAGUGGCGAACGGGUGAGUAACACGUGAGUAAUCUGCCCUUGACUCUGGGAUAACUGCGGGAAACUGUAGCUAAUACCGGAUACGACACCUUCGGGCAUCCGAUGGGUGUGGAAAGAAUGUCGGUCAAGGAUGAACUCGCGGCCUAUCAGCUAGUUGGUGAGGUAAUGGCUCACCAGGGGGACGACGGGUAGCCGGACUGAGAGGGUGACCGGCCACACUGGGACUGAGACACGGCCAAGACUCCUACGGGAGGCAGCAGUGGGGAAUAUUGCACAAUGGGCGGAAGCCUGAUGCAGCAACGCCGCGUGAGGGAUGAAGGCCUUCGGGUUGUAAACCUCUUUUAGUUGGGAAGAAGCGAAAGUGACGGUACCAACAGAAAAAGCACCGGCUAACUACGUGCCAGCCGCCGCCGUAA
RNAcentral lists this ribosomal RNA (484 nucleotides) under uncultured bacterium. RNAcentral's name for it is "partial 16S ribosomal RNA". It matches the Rfam family "Bacterial small subunit ribosomal RNA", at positions 28 to 523 of the family's 1533-position model. The record is from RNAcentral.